RNAcentral lists this transfer RNA (67 nucleotides) under Coleoptera sp. 10 KM-2017. Its description in RNAcentral is "tRNA-Ser". Lineage: Eukaryota; Metazoa; Arthropoda; Insecta; Coleoptera. The record is from RNAcentral.
GAAAUAUGAAAUUCAAGAUUAAGCUUCUAACUUAGAUCUUAAGCAGUGUAAGUCUGUUUAUAUUUCU